UUCCCAGGCAAAAUUUCUAGUAACUCAGCAUUUGGUACCAUCUUUACUAUAAUUUUAUACAGUACCCUGCAUGUCUCAUUAAUUAAGAUUUAAAUCCUUUUAUAGAUUGUCACAUCAGUGAGCAAGGUUCAGUUUAGGGAUUGAGAACCCUCAGCGACUAUAACAUCUAGCCCAUAUUCACAUUGUAGCACUUGAUUGCUGCCACUGAUUCUUCAAAAUGCCUAUCUUGUAUGGGAUGCUUGACAGUCAAAUGGAAUGAUUUAAACAAAUGCCAAAGGUGAGACAUGCUGGAAAAGCUUGAUAUGAAUGUGUAGACGCAGUUUUGGAAUUCAGAGGUGCAGCCGGCUGUUGGGAUUGUGCCAUCCAGGCAAUGUGGAUGUUCUGCCAUGUACAUGAUAAACCAAGGAUUCUUCGUCAACAGGCAAAAUGUUACUCCCUGUAAACUACUGUUGGCAGAAUAGCUGAUCCAUUGGGAAAACGGUUAUGGCAAGUGCGAUGAAUAAAUCACCAUAGGUCAGUUGUCUUGCCUUCACAAUUGCAACGAAGAUGAAUCAUGGAGUCAAAAACAU
Long non-coding RNA from Daphnia carinata, 569 nucleotides. RefSeq lists it as uncharacterized. Lineage: Eukaryota; Metazoa; Arthropoda; Branchiopoda; Diplostraca; Daphniidae. The record is from RefSeq and is a predicted model, not a curated record. The transcript is spliced from 4 exons.